CGCCCUUAGAGUUUGAUCAUGGCUCAGGACGAACGCUGGCGGCGUGCCUAAUACAUGCAAGUAGAACGGAGGAGCUUGCUCUUCGAGUUGCGAACGGGUGAGUAACGCGUAGGUAACCUGCCUGGUAGCGGGGGAUAACUAUUGGAAACGAUAGCUAAUACCGCAUAACAGUAGAUCGCAUGAUGCUGCUUGAAAGGUGAUUGCACCACUACCAGAUGGACCUGCGUUGUAUUAGCUAGUUGGUGAGGUAACGGCUCACCAAGGCAACGAUACAUAGCCGACCUGAGAGGGUGAUCAGCCACACUGGGACUGAGACACGGCCCAGACUCCUACGGGAGGCAGCAGUAGGGAAUCUUCGGCAAUGGACGGAAGUCUGACCGAGCAACGCCGCGUGAGUGAAGAAGGUUUUCGGAUCGUAAAGCUCUGUUGUAAGAGAAGAACGGAGUGUGAGAAAUCACACUGUGACGGUAUCUUACCAGAAAGGGACGGCUAACUACGUGCCAGCAGCCGCGGUAAUACGUAUGUCCCGAGCGUUGU
This 537-nucleotide ribosomal RNA is filed under the name uncultured Streptococcus sp. RNAcentral describes it as "bacterial SSU rRNA". It matches the Rfam family "Bacterial small subunit ribosomal RNA", at positions 1 to 544 of the family's 1533-position model. Lineage: Bacteria; Bacillati; Bacillota; Bacilli; Lactobacillales; Streptococcaceae. The record is from RNAcentral.